CAUUGCCGUCUAUGCCAACGCUACUCGGUCCAAUCCCAAAAGGUGGAUUGUUUGCCCCAGGUGUAGUCACUAUGCCUGUCCCCGUGCCAGUUCCUGGAGUUGUGGUGCCAGGUGGUGCAAUCGUUGGUAUUGUAGAUCCUGGUGGUGCGAUUGUUGGAGUUGUGGUUCCUGGAGGUGCGAUUGUGGUCCCAGGUGGUGCGAUUGUUGGAGUUGUGGUUCCCGGUGGUGCUGUUGACGGAGUUGUUGUACCUCCACCAGUGUUGC
This 264-nucleotide long non-coding RNA is filed under the name Solanum lycopersicum (tomato). Its description in RNAcentral is "long non-coding RNA (SLYC_LNC001414)". The record is from RNAcentral. Lineage: Eukaryota; Viridiplantae; Streptophyta; Magnoliopsida; Solanales; Solanaceae.